AUAAGUCUUAACAUGGUUGCUGUUGGAGAACCAUUAGCAGGAUCAUAAUCAGGAAGUAUAAGUUUGUUUGUAUGUCAUUACCCACACAUGGGAUCAAUAGGAUACCAUAACGAU
Molecule: ribosomal RNA, 114 nt
Filed under: Vairimorpha bombi
Lineage: Eukaryota; Fungi; Microsporidia; Nosematidae
Description: Nosema bombi partial contains small subunit ribosomal RNA, internal transcribed spacer and large subunit ribosomal RNA
Source: RNAcentral